ACGCUCGACACCUACGGGAGCAGCAGUAGGGAAUCUUCCACAAUGGACGCAAGUCUGAUGGAGCAACGCCGCGUGAGUGAAGAAGGUCUUCGGAUCGUAAAACUCUGUUGUUAGAGAAGAACACGAGUGAGAGUAACUGUUCAUUCGAUGACGGUAUCUAACCAGCAAGUCACGGCUAACUACGUGCCGGCAGCCGCGGUAAUCUGAGCGGGCUGGCAAGGC
RNAcentral lists this ribosomal RNA (222 nucleotides) under uncultured bacterium. RNAcentral describes it as "partial 16S ribosomal RNA". It matches the Rfam family "Bacterial small subunit ribosomal RNA", at positions 328 to 539 of the family's 1533-position model. The record is from RNAcentral.